UAUAAGGGAUUUUGAGUUGUUGCUUGCAACGUUUGACCGCUCGUCUUAUUCAAAUUUUUUUAAAAUUAUUAUUUAUUUUAUUUGUAACUUACUUUAUUAUCCACGGUACUUUAAGCACAACUUUUUGUCUUUCAUAUUUGAAAAAAAAAUUUGAAUAAGACGAGUGAUCAAAAGUUGCAAACAAAAACUCAAAAUCCCUUGUAUU
Molecule: non-coding RNA, 205 nt
Organism: Oryza glaberrima (African rice)
Lineage: Eukaryota; Viridiplantae; Streptophyta; Magnoliopsida; Poales; Poaceae
Source: Rfam